CCAGAGAAUAGCUAUGCAAGAUGAGAUAUUUUCUGGCGGGGAAUCGGCUUAGUCGAAUAAAGUUCUAGAUAGAAUAGUGAUUAUGACAAUUUUCUAUCUAAAUGUCUUGACCAAGUCACGUGCCAGCAGUCGCGGUAAUACGUGGAAGACUAGUGUUAUUCAUCUUUAAUAGGUUUAAAGGGUACCUAGACGGUAUUUCUAGCCCCAAAAGGGUACGGAUUUACUAGAGUUUUAUGUGAGAGGCAAAUAUUAGUACUAUUGGUGUAGAGAUGAAAUUCUUUGAUACUACUAGGACUGGUGGCGGCGAUAGCAACCCUAUAAGUAUAAACUGACGUUGAGGGACGAAGGCUUGGGUAGCGAAUAGGAUUAGAUACCCUAGUAGUCCAGGCAGAAAAUUAUGAGUGCCAUAGACUAGAUUAAAUAAUUUUGGUCUAUAAAUGAAAGUGUAAGCAUUCCACCUCAAGAGUAAUGUGGCAACGCAGGAACUGAAAUCAUUAGACCGUUUCUGAAACCAGUAGUGAAGUAUGUUAUUUAAUUCGAUAACCCUCGAAAAACCUUACCACAAUUUGAAUGUAAUACAUGUACUCUAAUAAUUGUCUAGUCAACAAUUACAUGUAUUAACACAAGCGUUGCACGGCGGUCUUCAGUUAAUGUCGUGAGAACUUGGUUAGAUCCAUUAAAUUAACGUAAUCCCUUUCUUUAUUUAUAUUAAUUAGGAAG
Molecule: ribosomal RNA, 720 nt
Filed under: Lichenothelia arida
Lineage: Eukaryota; Fungi; Ascomycota; Dothideomycetes; Lichenotheliales; Lichenotheliaceae
Description: bacterial SSU rRNA
Rfam family: Bacterial small subunit ribosomal RNA
Source: RNAcentral